RNAcentral lists this unclassified non-coding RNA (326 nucleotides) under uncultured Ascomycota. Its description in RNAcentral is "partial contains 5.8S ribosomal RNA, internal transcribed spacer 2, and large subunit ribosomal RNA". The stretch from base 1 to 102 matches the Rfam family "5.8S ribosomal RNA", at positions 53 to 154 of the family's 154-position model. Lineage: Eukaryota; Fungi; Ascomycota. The record is from RNAcentral.
AUGCGAUAAGUAAUGUGAAUUGCAGAAUUCCGUGAAUCAUCGAAUCUUUGAACGCACAUUGCGCCCUCUGGUAUUCCGGGGGGCAUGCCUGUCCGAGCGUCAUUUUCACCCCCUCAAGCACGGCUUGUGUGUUGGGCUAUCGUCCCCACGCCUCCCUGGAGGUCUAGAGUGGGACGGGCCUGAAAGGCAGUGACGGCGCGGUUCGAUCCUCGCAAGCGUAUGGGGCUUUGUCACACGCUUUAGCGAUACGUACCGACGCCUGUCCAUCUCCUUAAUAUACUUCUCAGGUUGACCUCGGAUCAGGUAGGGAUACCCGCUGAACUUAA